Molecule: ribosomal RNA, 429 nt
Filed under: bacterium
Lineage: Bacteria
Description: partial 16S ribosomal RNA
Rfam family: Bacterial small subunit ribosomal RNA
Source: RNAcentral
UAGGGAAUCUUCGGCAAUGGGGGCAACCCUGACCGAGCAACGCCGCGUGAGUGAAGAAGGUUUUCGGAUCGUAAAGCUCUGUUGUAAGAGAAGAACGUGUGUGAGAGUGGAAAGUUCACACAGUGACGGUAACUUACCAGAAAGGGACGGCUAACUACGUGCCAGCAGCCGCGGUAAUACGUAGGUCCCGAUCGUUGUCCGGAUUUAUUGGGCGUAAAGCGAGCGCAGGCGGUUUAAUAAGUCUGAAGUUAAAGGCAGUGGCUUAACCAUUGUUCGCUUUGGAAACUGUUACACUUGAGUGCAGAAGGGGAGAGUGGAAUUCCAUGUGUAGCGGUGAAAUGCGUAGAUAUAUGGAGGAACACCGGUGGCGAAAGCGGCUCUCUGGUCUGUAACUGACGCUGAGGCUCGAAAGCGUGGGGAGCAAACAGG